ACGAACGCUGGCGGCGUGCUUAACACAUGCAAGUCGCACGGUAAGGCCCCAGCUUGCUGGGGUACACGAGUGGCGAACGGGUGAGUAACACGUGGGUGACCUGCCCCGCACUUCGGGAUAAGCCUGGGAAACUGGGUCUAAUACCGGAUAGGACCGCACCGUGAGGGUGUGGUGGAAAGUUUUUCGGUGUGGGAUGGGCCCGCGGCCUAUCAGCUUGUUGGUGGGGUAAUGGCCUACCAAGGCGGCGACGGGUAGCCGGCCUGAGAGGGUGGACGGCCACAUUGGGACUGAGACACGGCCCAGACUCCUACGGGAGGCAGCAGUGGGGAAUAUUGCACAAUGGGCGGAAGCCUGAUGCAGCGACGCCGCGUGGGGGAUGACGGCCUUCGGGUUGUAAACUCCUUUCACCAUCGACGAAGGUUUUCUGACGGUAGAUGGAGAAGAAGCACCGGCUAACUACGUG
Molecule: ribosomal RNA, 463 nt
Filed under: uncultured bacterium
Lineage: Bacteria
Description: partial 16S ribosomal RNA
Rfam family: Bacterial small subunit ribosomal RNA
Source: RNAcentral